Molecule: unclassified non-coding RNA, 191 nt
Filed under: uncultured fungus
Lineage: Eukaryota; Fungi
Description: sequence contains ITS1, 5.8S rRNA gene
Source: RNAcentral
ACGAGUUAGGGUCUUCUAGGCCCGACCUCCCAACCCUAUGUUUAUUGAACCUCUGUUGCUUCGGCGGACCCGCCUCACGGCCGCCGGAGGACCGCCGCAAGGCGUCCUCUGGCCAGCGUCCGCCGAUGGCCAACCACUUAAACUCUGAAUGAAUCGUGUCAUAUGUCUAAGUCUAUGAUUAAAUUAAAGCA